Molecule: long non-coding RNA, 7486 nt
Filed under: Oryza sativa (Asian cultivated rice)
Lineage: Eukaryota; Viridiplantae; Streptophyta; Magnoliopsida; Poales; Poaceae
Description: long non-coding RNA (OSAT_LNC001613)
Source: RNAcentral
CUUUCGUUUGCCCCCUCUCCCGUGGUCUCCCGUGCCUCGUAGCGCCGCCGCCACGUGCUCCACCCCGCCGUCGUCGCCGGCCGAGCUCCAUCCGCGUCGCGCCGCCGCCUCCGUCGUCGCCGCCGGUCGCUGUCACCGCCGUAAGGUGCGCCGAGGUGUGGAGAAGCCCGGCCGCCUGACCCCCGAAGCCGCAGGUCACCGGAGCCCCGUCACCGCCGUCGACCGAAGCCGCGCCGCCAACAGACCUCGUCGCCGGCCGUCGUCGUUCGUCGUUUUGUUCGAGGGUGAGUACCGUUGGGUUCGUCUCGUCGUCCUCUACGUGUUCAUGUCCUCCAAAGUCGCAGCCGACCAUCCAAUCUCCGGCGAGGUCGCCAUCUUGGUCCGGCCAUUGAUGAGGUCAUCAUGACGUCAUCAUCGUUUUUCUUUUUCCUGUUUUUCUAAUAGAUUAAAUCUUCGAAAAUUCAUAACUAAAUCAUCGUAACUCGGUUUUGAGUGGUUCAAGUUGCUAAAUUCAUCUAAAAUCAUGAUCUACAUGUUUGUUUACUUUAUAUGUACUGUUUAUUUGGUUUUUAUUAGUCUUUUUCUUCGUUUUGCGUGUUAGCUUGUCGUUUCCGUCGUUGCGAAGGUUCGUGAGUGCGUCAGGAGUGUUCAGAAGAUUAAUUGAAGACCGAUUAUUGCAAGGCAAGUCACACAGAUCCUAAACACAAUCCUUUGAGCAUGUUGAUCCUAUAUUUAAAUUCUCUAUUUAUUUCAACUGUGCAUUUAUUUUCGAAUGUCACCGGGUGGUGUGAACUUAUUCCUUUGUUAUGGCCAAUUUGCAUUGAUUACUUUAUUCCUUGAUACCUUGGGUUAUUAUAACUUGACUAGUUGGGCUUUAUAUAUUGGUUCAGCUAGAUAUUAGUUAUGAUUGCUUAGCCAUGCUUAGAAACAUUAGCACACUAUUGGGAUAACUUAUGACUCACUAUUAUUUAAGGAUGGCUUAAUGAUAGUUCACGAUGGUUAAUCGUGAUUGGUUAAUUAAUUACUUGCCAACUAAAACUUGAUAAUGGUGGGUUGUGAGCACAUGGUUUUGAGAGUCGUGCUCAUGACAAUUAAGGACCGGUUCGCGAGCUACUGUUGUGAAACAUUUAUCGUGCCAACCACAAGCCAGCGUGGGCAACGGCUUUAUCUUUUGUGUAGCGUGAUUCAUUAUAGUGCGCCAGACUGAGAAGUGGCGAGAAGUCCACGGGGGUCGCUGGGGAGUCCAUGCCUUGUUUAUAAGGGGGUGAUUAUGAUCCAGGAAAGGUGCGCUGUAAUGGGUUAUGUUGUGCAAGGGGUAUUGUCACAACUCCUUUCCGAGGUACCGUGGUGGUAUUGAGGCACAUGGUGACAUGAUGUGGGGUUGUGUCUUGUGGGUACAGUGGUACAUCUCUGGCCAGAGUAAAACUAUUCGAAUAGCCGUGCCCGCGGUUAUGGGCGGGUUGAGCAAUGUUUUUCGUGAUUAGUCUCACACCUCUCACAAUAAUUAUGGAUGUUAUACCUGGUAAUAAUUUGCUUAGCUCCUGGUUUGGAGUUAGAUCUGUACAGCCGGGUAUGGUUGUUCAGGAUGGUUGGGCCUGUGCAGCAUGAGUGUGCUGUUCAGUGUUGAUUAAAAUUUUUAAUUAAUUACUCUACUGUUUUACUACUCUUAACUCUUUGCUAAAUGCUGCUUUCGCAAAUGAGCCUAUAUUAUGCCAUCCUUUGGUAUCCUUGUGCACUUGCAUAUUUGCUGUGUGGCUUGUUGAGUAUGUCAUAUGCUCAUUCUUGCAAUAAUCAAUCAAACCUCAGUUGAAGAUAAAGGAUCCAGAAGGAGAAGACGUUUGGCUUAUACCCCAGUUGAGCUGCCUGUGGGAGUGGAGCUGAAGCCAUCGCUAGACCGUUAAUUCCGCCGCUGUUUUCUUUUCUUUGUAAGUAUGUAACGUUAUUAUUAAGAUGGAUUUGUAUAUUAAAAUUGUCAGUUUGUGUACCUCGGCUGAUUCCUGGACGAGGAUUUUAUGCACAAAUAAGUUCGGAAAUUACUAGUGAAUUUCCGGGCGUGACAGUGGAGGUGGGUUGCCCUGAUGGUUGUGGUUGCUGCCUUCAGGUUGGUUGCCAUCACCGGUGGCAGCAUUUCUCCUGGUCGUCACCAUCUGAAAACCCCACACAGAACCAACAAACAGAGAGAGCUGACAAUUAAAGCUAACCACCCACGACUACCAUAAUUCUUAAAUUUAUUACUGCUAUUAAAUUGGUUCAUUAAGGUUCAAGUUGCUUAGGCGAAUAAAUAAAGACAGGCUCCGACACAGUUACACCACACACCAGCAUAACUGUGCCCUACACAACCCAACAAGAAGACAAACGAGAAAGAACACACGCGCAAGCCUACUAACUGCUCGUCUACUGCUGCGACGGGCCAGGACGGAAGGUGAGCAACAGCGCAUCCUCCGUGCUACCAACGCCGGAGGCUUCCCCCUCCUGGGGAACCACGGGCGCAGGCUCGGCACGAGGGGCCUCCACGAAGCAAGUCCACGCCAGGGACUGACGAACAAGCUCGGGCCUGGAGGUGCUCUUGCGGGCAGUGAUCUUCAGACUGCGGCAGACACGGCGGCGCUUGGGGCGGCAGAUCUCUCCCUGGGCGAUCUUGAGCUGAUGCAGCUGCGCCUCCACUGCGUCCAGGUCCUUCUUGAGCUGCAGGUUCUCUUGACGCAGCUCCAGGAUCUUCAGGUUGUUCUCGACCAUCCCACGGCGCACCAUCUGAUGGAAGUCGAUACGAGCCGCGUCGUACGCCUCCACCAUACGCGCCAAGUGCACGAUGGUAGCGUCAUCCUCCGAGCUAGCAUCCCGGAAGGUGGCGUGGUCGCGGGCUCCUCCGCGACGAGGGUGGUAGCGGUAGGGCGAGUGCUGCAACUCGUCCGGGUAGCGCUGGUGAAGAGUGCCGAUGGCGAGGAGAGCGGCGCUCUGGCAAGCGGCGGGGAAGGAGUCUCCACCAGCGGUGACUGUCAGCGAAGUCCGCUCGGGAGAGCCAGCGAGGAUCACUGCAGUGACCUCCCAAGCAGCGUGGGGCUCCGCAUCGUCACCCUCCUGCUCCGGAAGCGGCCUGGCCUGGUAGUCCACUCCGUGUGGAUACCCCAGGGCCACGCACAUGCCCCGCAGCUCCAAGAAGAAACCAGUCAUGUCCAAACCACGACGGGUGACGCUGCCGGCCAUCUACAAACAAAAACAAAAAGAAAAGCAACAUUUUAAAGGUCAGAUUUUGGCGAUAAAUGAAGCAGCAAGACAGAGAGAGACUAGAGGAUUUUCACAAAUACAAAGGAUUUUUAUUUCGAAAAUAUUGCUAAGGCUUGGGAUCUACGGCUCGUCCUAGGGUCAAGGGGGCUCUGAUACCAACUUGUCACGACCGGAAAUAACCCAACGGGCAUUCCUUACGUGCGUGCAUUAAUCCUUGUCCCAGGAGGCAAGGUACACCAAAAGUUGAUACAAUUCAGAGUUUAACAAGCGGAAGCGUAAUUAGAUAACUUAUUACAUGGGCAACGAAGGCCCAGCACACACAGAGACAAACGAGAAACAGCGGAAGACUAGGGCGACGACCACAGGCGCUUGACGGCAGGCACGAGCUAGACACCGAAGCCUUCAUCCUCCUGGAACUCCUCUUCUGGGGUUGGGAAAAAUUGAGCAAGACUGAGUACAACCACCGUACUCAACAAGACACACCCACAAGUGCAGAAUAAAUGCAAGGGAGUACAAAGGAGUUAUACUGUAAAGGGGUUAGGGUUGCAGUAAACAGCAUUUAAAGAUAUUUAGUUGCUCAGGGCUAUUUUGUAAACACGAUUCUAGAACUAAACAAUAUUAUUUAUCAAGGCCGUGAACCCACACGAACCUGCCUUAACCCAAGGCCUACGAUGAUUCAGACCGAACUGGCAACCCGACCCUGGGUCCCAGCUCGUCCCAAGCCAACCCAGGCCAACCAUUCCACAUUUUAGUUGUUAAGCAGGUUUUAAGAAUUAAAACACUAACUUGGGUACAUUGCUCGGCUUGCCCAUAACCGAGGGCGCGGCUAUUCGAAUAGAUUUUACUCUGAUCAGAGGUGUACAUCUUUACCCACAAGACACAUCUCCCUCACGUGUAACCACGUGCCACAUACCACCACGGUAUACAGACGGAAGACGUGACAUAGUUUCCAACCCAUCCUAGCCAUAGACAAGAGUACCGACCCAAUCCCGCCUACGGCCGGAACCCCCGGGACAGGCAGGCAGGACUGAGCCCCUAGCAGCAGGACACCGGCCCUGUGCCAUGACAUCUCGACUACCGGGCCGCAGCUCGUGUAGCCUUCAUUUGCCCUGGAGAAUGUCCAUCGACCCCCGACUUCAUCCACCUCCAUCCGUGUACUUUUGUUUAUAACUAGACUGAGCCACAAACUAAGCCUUACCCACUAGACAUGUGGAAGUACGGUAGUGCUUUGCAACAGAGGCCCGAAGACCGGUCCUUAUAUGGCCGAGGUGCUACUAUCAAAACCAUUUUUGGGGAUUUUGAAUAGAGGGGGCGGUGUGAAUCCAAUUCCACAAUACUCCAACAACUCCACAGUGUCCAGGUGAUAUGAACAUUCCCAAAGUCUAGAGUUGUAAAACCGCCUAAUGUUACCUAAUUAAAAGCGAAGCAUCUACCUAUAAUCGUACUAGUGGUACCAUGAGUAGAGUGCCCACUAGUUGGGGUUUUGUUUAUUCUAGGGUGAACAAGGUAAUAAUAACAAUAACAAUAAUAAGGUCAUAACAAAGGUAAAUAGGCAUGGCUAAAUAAAACAGUGAUAACGCGGGAAUUUAAAUAAAGCGAUAAUGCAAUAAUUUAAAUCAACAUAAUUUUACAAACUGGGAUUCAAUAUGUUCAAAGAUGAUGUGACUUGCCUUGCUUGCUUUCCCAAACACCGGCUUCAACUUCCACGAAGAGCGGAUCUUCCGAAGCUGCAGCGUCUACACGACCAACGGAAAAGAAAAGGCUUUUACUCUACUAAACUCCAUAUAACCAGCAGAAACAAAGCACAAAAAUGGGUUCUUGACUUCUUAAGGAAAAAUUAGAGACUUGAACGGUCCAAUUCCGAGUUCAAAUGGCCAAGUUAUGGCCAUUUGAAGUUUAUAUGCUCUUUAAAUGAAUAUUUGCGAAUUUCUUCAUUUAAAUUUUUAAUUUAAAAUCGGAUUUAUUGCGUCAGCCGAGGGGAGGGGCGCGUGGACCGGGUCCACGGGAGUGGGGCCCACGCGGCAGCCUCACGGUCCACGGUGGACCGGGUGCACGCGGCUUGCGCCGGCCGGCGCCGUGGGUCCCACGCGUCAGCCGCACCCGAGGGCGCGGGCGGCUGACGGCCGGGCCCCACAUGGCAGCCGCGGGGCGCGCCCGAAGGCGGCCUCGCCGGCACGGCCGACGGGAGGCGGCGCGCCCGCGCCCCGAUGGUCGCCGGCGGCGACCUCCAGCGCGACGGAGCGGCGCCCGAGAGAGGGGAGGGAAGGGGGAAGCGAAAUGGCGGUCCUCGGCUCACCCCGGGUCGACGGCGACGACGGGAACGGCGACCGAAGCGGAGAGAGGCGGCGGCGCGGCUCGGGUCGACGAGGACGGCGGUGCUCCGGCGGUCGGCGGGCGAAACGGAGGAGUGGACAAGGUCGGCGAGAACGCGGCGAAGCCGAAGGAGGCGAUGCCGAAGCGGGAGGAGGUCCGGGGCGACGACGGCGGCGGACCGAAGCUUGGCGGCGAUGGCGGAGAGAGAGGACGACGGCGCGAGCUCGAUUCCGACGGGGAGAGCGAGCGGCGAACGGCGGAAACGGAGGAGGGAGGCACGGGGAGUGCUUAAAUAGGGUUGGGAGUGAGAGAGGGCGGCCGGAGGGGAAGGAAAUCGGCGCGGCGAUCUCGGGCUCCAUUGAUGCGCCGGCGAAGAUUGCGGGAGGGAUUCCAAACGAAUCCAAGGGAGAGAGAGAGAGAAAAGAGGGGGGAAAGAGGGAGGGAAUCACGGGGAGUGAUUUCCCCCUCUUUAUGGCGAGCGGGGACGGCGGGAAGCGGCGGAUUCGGCGGCGGCGGCGGCGCUAGGGCACGGGCGGGCGGCGGGAGCGGCGGAAGGUAGGGGAUGACGGGUGGGCCCCACCCGUCAGCGAGGAUGGUGGGCGGGCCCGCCCGUCAGCGGCGCGCGCGCGGGGGAGAGGAGAGAGAGGGAGGGAGCUGGGUCGAGCCGGCCCAAGAAGGGAAGGGGGGAAAGAAGACUUUUAGGGAUUUUUCUUUUUAUAAAACCAUUUUAACUUUGUUUAUUUCUUCUCAAUUAUUAUUUGUGCUCUGAAAAUUCCACUAAAAUUUAUUUACGCAUUUUAGGCUUUUAGGAAAUAUACAAAAAUCCUCCAAGCCUUAUUUGACUUUUAGCUUUGCACAUUUUAAUUGUUGGAGGCUUUCACAUGGAUUUUACUUAUUCUAUGCACAAUUUCGAGGAUGUAUUUUAGAGUCGAUUUGGGACGCGACAAGCUCUCCUCUACCCGUCGCCACCCUCGCCUUCGCCUCUCGUCGUCCGUAGAGCUCUAGCGCCAUGUAGCCUUGAGCCGCCGUCGCUCCAGCCGUGCGCCACCGCCGUUCCAGUCGUCGCCGUCGCUCGGGAAGGUCGCCUUCGUGGUCGCCAAGUCACAGCCGUCCUCGUCCGCCACUUCGCCACCGCCGGAGACCGCCGGAGCAUCGUCGCCGUCAUCAAGCCGAAGACCGCCGCCGUUUCUUCCUCGUCGCCGUCGCCGUCCGUUGCUCCUCCGCCGCUUCUUUGGUCGCCGGUGAGUUUGCCGCGUCGCCCUCUACCCGUUGGUGCCCUCCGUUCGUGCCGAAGCGCCGCCGUUCGCCGGCAAGCGUGCGCCGUCCGAGCCGUCCGAGCCGCCGAGCCGCCGCCGCCGGUGGUGACGUCAUCGCUGGCGUCAUCGUCCCCGUCUCCCGUGAGCUGGUCGUGGACCGAUCGAUCUCGGCCGUCCGUUUUGGAUGGAUCGAUCUCGGCCCUCCGUUCCCGUGAACCGUCGCUGUGCGCCCGGUCCACCGCAAACCCUAGCCGCUGACGCAAUAAUUCCCUUUUUCCUUUUCAAAAAUAAUUCAUUAUUGCGUCAUAAUUCAAUUAAAAUCCAUAUAAGUGUUUCAAUCCGAUUAAAUCUUCAAAAAUUCAUAACUAAUUCAUCUUAGCUCGGAUUUAGUUGGUUCAAGUCUCUAAAUUUUUCUAAAAUUGAGGUCUACAUGUUAAAAAUAUCCACAUAUACUGUUCAUGCUUGUUUAUGUGCUGUUUUGGUGAUUUUGCUUCUUUCUGCUUAGAUUCCAUCGUUUCCGGAGAGUCCGUUUUCGCAGCAGAAGAGUUUGAAGAGUUCCAAGGCCAGCAAGGCAGGUCACACAGAUCCCAAACAACCCUUUAAGCAUGUUGAUCCUAUUUAAAGCUAUUGUUUCUAUUCAACUAUUGCAUCUAUUUUCGAAUGUCAUUGGGUGGAAUUAACCUAUUGUUUGC